CUCGCAAGGGACAGUGGCAGACGGCUUAGCAACACGUGAGUGACCUGCCCAGAGGUGGGGGAUAGCCAUCCGAAAGGAUGGGUAAUACCGCGUAAGCUGGCUGGGGUAGAACUCAGUCAGGAAAGCAGCAAUGCGCCUUUGGAGGGGCUCGCGGCCCAUCAGGUAGUUGGUGAGGUAAUAGCCCACCAAGCCGAUGACGGGUAGCUGGUCUGAGAGGACGAUCAGCCACAAUGGAACUGAGAUACGGUCCAUACUCCUACGGGAGGCAGCAGUGGG
This 276-nucleotide unclassified non-coding RNA is filed under the name uncultured bacterium. Its description in RNAcentral is "partial contains 16S ribosomal RNA and 16S-23S ribosomal RNA intergenic spacer region". It matches the Rfam family "Bacterial small subunit ribosomal RNA", at positions 82 to 358 of the family's 1533-position model. The record is from RNAcentral.